This 165-nucleotide small RNA is filed under the name Mytilus galloprovincialis (Mediterranean mussel). The record is from RNAcentral. Lineage: Eukaryota; Metazoa; Mollusca; Bivalvia; Mytilida; Mytilidae.
GGGGGGGGGGGGGGGGGGGGGGGAGUUAUGGAUUUUUUUCUGGACAAACCUUUUUUUUCGCCUGCGGCGAAAAAACAAUCUAUUUUCUCCAAAAACUGGAAACAAACUUUUUUUUCCAAAAACACCCAUAGCCCCCCCCUCCCCCCCUCCCCCAGAAAAUCAAAU